Small nuclear RNA from Nannospalax galili (Upper Galilee mountains blind mole rat), 107 nucleotides. The record is from Ensembl. NCBI's taxonomy places the organism in Eukaryota, Metazoa, Chordata, Mammalia, Rodentia, Spalacidae.
GUGCUUGCUUUAGUAGCACAGAUAUCAAAAUUGGAACAAUAUCAUGGAGAUUAGAAUGACCCCUGCACAAGGAUGGCAAGCAAAUUUAUAAAGCAGUCAAUAUUUUU